CGGGCCCACACAGGCCCAAGGUGAUAAAACGGGUGACCUCGAUGUGACCGCCACUGGGGUUUUUUUCUCUCUGGGCCCGCAGCCAGGAUCCUGGAUUCAUAGCUCUAGAGCAAAUUCAAGUGCAGCUUUAGCCUUUCGUACUCAGUCUCCAUCGACCUGUCAGAGACAUCACAGUGAUUGACUGCCCUGGCAGAUGUGCCGCUAUAACAGCAAGAGUUCUAUCAAGAUCUCUGCAAGCCCAGGGCAUUGAGAAGUUGCUGAAGAACAUUCAUCUCAACUUGAGCCUGAAGAUCUUCUAAGCUGCAAUAGCUUUUGGCAUAGAUAGAGAGGAACCCAGACUACUGGUUCAAAAUCUACCUUUCAGGCAGCUGCAGUAGUUGAAAAGAUUCCCAAGUACAUGGAAAAUACCAAAUUCCUUUGGUAGCCAUCAAUGUUCUUCAUCUGGUCCUCAAAAAAAGCUGUUGAAGAGUGAUAAAAUCCCACCCAAGAGUGAAAUGCACCUCACUACACAUGUAAUAACUUUGCUGGCUUAUGAUUGUACUUACAUGACUAAGGACUCCCCAUCCUAACUCCUUUUCCCACUGUACAGUUCUUUACCAUUCAUAUAGUCACCCACGUUCAUCCUGAGUGAUGUUUGAAUUGAGAAAGGCUAUGGAAAGAGUCUCAAGAUGAUUCUCAGUGUCACUGUAGAGUUCACUUGAGGAGCUGAUGGCAAGAUGCACAGCAAUUCCUAUUUCUUCUGUAUCAAAAUAUCACUUAUCUUCAGCCAUGAACUGGAGUACUUAAUUUCUGAAUCAAGAUGAUUAGCAUGCCCAAAUCAUUUUUUAAAUCUUCAUGUGUGUAAUUCCUCAAAAAAAUUGUUGAUACAUAUUGGAAGUAAAGAGCUAGUCUGACAUUGUGA
Molecule: long non-coding RNA, 901 nt
Organism: Cyanistes caeruleus (blue tit)
Lineage: Eukaryota; Metazoa; Chordata; Aves; Passeriformes; Paridae
Source: RefSeq, a predicted model, not a curated record